GUAGGAAGUGACUGUAGGUUUAGAUGAAUGGAAAAUGAACUUGCCAGUUCACAGCUAUGUCCUUCCCAAUUUAGGAGGUUAAGGGCAGGAAAAACAUGAGAAACUCUUUUGAGAAGCUGCACAAGCUGACAUGGAGGAUCAAGGAUUUCAAAAGCUUUGAAUAUAAAGAGGUGUCAGACUUACAUCAGAGCCUGAGACUUGACAUGCCUAUUUUUGCACUCGCUCAUUUUUCAAAUUUCAUAGGCAUUGCUCCCUCCAAAUCACCGCUCUUCUAAUUUUAUCCUGGAGUGUGCAUCCCAGAAGACAUAAGCUGACACAAUUGGGAACUGAAGUUGCUUGAAAAAGCUGGUGGUAAGAUUAGACUCUAGACAGCUUAUACGUAUUUGGACAAGGCAACGUGAUGAAGAAAUAAUAUAAUUGUAGGAUCACCUCUGUCCAGUAGCUGUUAUCCAACAUCUGCAUACUUAGAUUUCUGGAGAGAUAUCCAUGAAUGACCAUGAAAGUACAGCAAGUGAUUUUCAAGCUGCAAACAAAUUUUAGCAAGCAAAUGGAAGAAGAAAGAGGAGAGUGGUGGUGUGUGCUUUCCCUUUAAUGGCAGAACCCAACAGUCGUACACACCACUUCUACCCUCUUAAGAUGGGUCAGAAUCCAGGCCCAAUUCCAUGUAUACAUGGAAGAGAGGCUUAUUAAAGUAGCCUUCAGUUGCUGGACAGAGUUCCAUCCAAAACUACAGUUAAUAGAAUUAGAAAAAACUACUUUAAAUUUCAUAUGGAACCAAAAAAGAGCCUGCAUAGCCAAGACAAUCCUCAGCAAAAAGAACAAAGCUGGAGGCAGCAUGCUACCUGACUUCAAACUACACUACAAAGCUACAGUAACCAAAACAGCUUGGUGCUGGUACCAAAACAGAUACAUAGACCAAGGGAACAGAACAGAGGCCUAAGAAAUAACACCACACAUCUACAACCAUUGAAACUUUGACUAACCAGACAAAAACAAGCCAUGGGGAAAGGAUUCCCUAUUUAAUACAUGCUGAUGGAAAAACUAGCUAGCCGUCUGCAGAAAACUGAAACUGGACCUUAUACAAAAAUUAACUUACAUCUUAUACAAAAAUUAACUCAAGAUAGAUCAAAGAUUUAAGUGUAAGACCUAAAACCAAAAAACCCUAGAAGAAAA
This 1173-nucleotide long non-coding RNA is filed under the name Homo sapiens (human). RNAcentral's name for it is "long intergenic non-protein coding RNA 1684". Lineage: Eukaryota; Metazoa; Chordata; Mammalia; Primates; Hominidae. The record is from RNAcentral.